This 485-nucleotide ribosomal RNA is filed under the name uncultured bacterium. RNAcentral describes it as "bacterial SSU rRNA". It matches the Rfam family "Bacterial small subunit ribosomal RNA", at positions 327 to 804 of the family's 1533-position model. The record is from RNAcentral.
CGCCUUAUACUCCUACGGGAGGCAGCAGUGGGGAAUAUUGGACAAUGGGCGAAAGCCUGAUCCAGCCAUGCCGCGUGUGUGAAGAAGGUCUUCGGAUUGUAAAGCACUUUAAGUUGGGAGGAAGGGCAGUUACCUAAUACGAGAUUGUUUUGACGUUACCGACAGAAUAAGCACCGGCUAACUCUGUGCCAGCAGCCGCGGUAAUACAGAGGGUGCAAGCGUUAAUCGGAAUUACUGGGCGUAAAGCGCGCGUAGGUGGUUUGUUAAGUUGGAUGUGAAAUCCCCGGGCUCAACCUGGGAACUGCAUUCAAAACUGACUGACUAGAGUAUGGUAGAGGGUGGUGGAAUUUCCUGUGUAGCGGUGAAAUGCGUAGAUAUAGGAAGGAACACCAGUGGCGAAGGCGACCACCUGGACUGAUACUGACACUGAGGUGCGAAAGCGUGGGGAGCAAACAGGAUUAGAUACCCCUGUAGUCCACGUACCA